GGUUCGGUAGUUCAGUUGGUGGAACGUCUGCUUAACACGCAGAAGGUCGUCGGUUCAAGUCCGGCCCGGAUCA
This is a transfer RNA of Sphaerobolus stellatus SS14, 73 nucleotides long. It matches the Rfam family "tRNA". Rfam says of the family: Transfer RNA (tRNA) molecules are approximately 80 nucleotides in length. Their secondary structure includes four short double-helical elements and three loops (D, anti-codon, and T loops). Lineage: Eukaryota; Fungi; Basidiomycota; Agaricomycetes; Geastrales; Sphaerobolaceae. The record is from Rfam.